This 298-nucleotide ribosomal RNA is filed under the name uncultured Sporolactobacillus sp. RNAcentral describes it as "partial 16S ribosomal RNA". It matches the Rfam family "Bacterial small subunit ribosomal RNA", at positions 355 to 643 of the family's 1533-position model. The record is from RNAcentral. Lineage: Bacteria; Bacillati; Bacillota; Bacilli; Caryophanales; Sporolactobacillaceae.
UAGGGAAUCUUCCACAAUGGACGGAAGUCUGUAUGGAGCAACGCCGCGUGAGCGAAGAAGGUUUUCGGAUCGUAAAGCUCUGUUGCCGGAGAAGAACGGGGAGGAGAGGAAAUGCUCCUGUCGUGACGGUAUCCGGCGAGAAAGCCACGGCUAACUACGUGCCAGCAGCCGCGGUAAUACGUAGGUGGCGAGCGUUGUCCGGAAUUAUUGGGCGUAAAGGGCGCGCAGGCGGCUUCUUAAGUCUGAUGUGAAAUCUUGCGGCUCAACCGCAAAAGGGUCAUUGGAAACUGGGGAGCUU